This 253-nucleotide ribosomal RNA is filed under the name uncultured bacterium. RNAcentral describes it as "partial 16S ribosomal RNA". It matches the Rfam family "Bacterial small subunit ribosomal RNA", at positions 524 to 776 of the family's 1533-position model. The record is from RNAcentral.
UACGGAGGGAGCUAGCGCUGUUCGGAAUUACUGGGCGUAAAGCGCACGUAGGCGGCUUUGUAAGUUAGAGGUGAAAGCCCGGGGCUCAACUCCGGAACUGCCUUUAAAACUGCAUCGCUUGAAUCCAGGAGAGGUGAGUGGAAUUCCGAGUGUAGAGGUGAAAUUCGUAGAUAUUCGGAAGAACACCAGUGGCGAAGGCGGCUCACUGGACUGGUAUUGACGCUGAGGUGCGAAAGCGUGGGGAGCAAACAGG